Molecule: ribosomal RNA, 253 nt
Filed under: uncultured bacterium
Lineage: Bacteria
Description: partial 16S ribosomal RNA
Rfam family: Bacterial small subunit ribosomal RNA
Source: RNAcentral
UACAGAGGGGGCAAGCGUUGUUCGGAAUUACUGGGCGUAAAGGGCGCGUAGGCGGCCUUCUAAGUCGAACGUGAAAUCCCCGGGCUCAACCCGGGAACUGCGUCCGAUACUGGAAGGCUUGAAUCCGGGAGAGGGAUGCGGAAUUCCAGGUGUAGCGGUGAAAUGCGUAGAUAUCUGGAGGAAUACCGGUGGCGAAGGCGGCAUCCUGGACCGGCAUUGACGCUGAGGAGCGAAAGCCAGGGGAGCAAACGGG